GGCCGGUUGGCCCAAUGGUAAGGCGUCUGACUACGAUACCGUCGUCAAUCAGGAGAUUCUGGGUUCGAGCCCCAGGCUGGUCA
This 83-nucleotide transfer RNA is filed under the name Melanopsichium pennsylvanicum. RNAcentral's name for it is "transfer RNA-Arg(ACG)". It matches the Rfam family "tRNA". From Rfam's summary of the family: Transfer RNA (tRNA) molecules are approximately 80 nucleotides in length. The record is from RNAcentral. Lineage: Eukaryota; Fungi; Basidiomycota; Ustilaginomycetes; Ustilaginales.